GUCGAGCGGUACAGGAGAAAGCUUGCUUUCUUGCUGACGAGCGGCGGACGGGUGAGUAAUGUAUGGGGAUCUGCCCGAUAGAGGGGGAUAACUACUGGAAACGGUGGCUAAUACCGCAUAAUGUCUACGGACCAAAGCAGGGGCUCUUCGGACCUUGCACUAUCGGAUGAACCCAUAUGGGAUUAGCUAGUAGGUGGGGUAAAGGCUCACCUAGGCGACGAUCUCUAGCUGGUCUGAGAGGAUGAUCACCCACACUGGGACUGAGACACGGCCCACACUCCUACGGGAGGCAGCAGUGGGGAAUAUUGCACAAUGGGCGCAAGCCUGAUGCACCCAUGCCGCGUGUAUGAAAAAGGCCUUAGGGUUGUAAAGUACUUUCAGCGGGGAGGAAGGUGAUAAGGUUAAUACCCUUAUCAAUUGACGUUACCCGCAAAAGAAGCACCGGCUAACUCCGUGCCAGCAGCCGCGGUAAUACGGAGGGUGCAAGCGUUAAUCGGAAUUACUGGGCGUAAAGCGCACGCAGGCGGUCAAUUAAGUC
Molecule: ribosomal RNA, 538 nt
Filed under: Proteus sp. (in: enterobacteria)
Lineage: Bacteria; Pseudomonadati; Pseudomonadota; Gammaproteobacteria; Enterobacterales; Morganellaceae
Description: bacterial SSU rRNA
Rfam family: Bacterial small subunit ribosomal RNA
Source: RNAcentral